GACGAACGCUGGCGGCGUGCUUAACACAUGCAAGUCGAACGGAAAGGCCCUGCUUUUGUGGGGUGCUCGAGUGGCGAACGGGUGAGUAACACGUGAGUAACCUGCCCUUGACUUUGGGAUAACUUCAGGAAACUGGGGCUAAUACCGGAUAGGAGCUCCUGCUGCAUGGUGGGGGUUGGAAAGUUUCGGCGGUUGGGGAUGGACUCGCGGCUUAUCAGCUUGUUGGUGGGGUAGUGGCUUACCAAGGCUUUGACGGGUAGCCGGCCUGAGAGGGUGACCGGCCACAUUGGGACUGAGAUACGACCCAGACUCCUACAGGAGGCAGCAGUGUAGAAUAUUUCACAAUGGGCGGAAGCCUGAUGCAGCAACGCCGCGUGCGGGAUGACGGCCUUCGGGUUGUAAACCGCUUUCGCCUGUGACGAAGCGUGAGUGACGGUAAUGGGUAAAGAAGCACCGGCUAACUACGUG
Molecule: ribosomal RNA, 468 nt
Filed under: uncultured bacterium
Lineage: Bacteria
Description: partial 16S ribosomal RNA
Rfam family: Bacterial small subunit ribosomal RNA
Source: RNAcentral